RNAcentral lists this ribosomal RNA (465 nucleotides) under Vreelandella stevensii. Its description in RNAcentral is "partial 16S ribosomal RNA". It matches the Rfam family "Bacterial small subunit ribosomal RNA", at positions 338 to 795 of the family's 1533-position model. Lineage: Bacteria; Pseudomonadati; Pseudomonadota; Gammaproteobacteria; Oceanospirillales; Halomonadaceae. The record is from RNAcentral.
CCUACGGGUGGCAGCAGUGGGGAAUAUUGGACAAUGGGGGGAACCCUGAUCCAGCCAUGCCGCGUGUGUGAAGAAGGCCCUCGGGGUGUAAAGCACUUUCAGUGAGGAAGAACGCCUGGUGGUUAAUACCCAUCAGGAAAGACAUCACUCACAGAAGAAGCACCGGCUAACUCCGUGCCAGCAGCCGCGGUAAUACGGAGGGUGCGAGCGUUAAUCGGAAUUACUGGGCGUAAAGCGCGCGUAGGUGGCUUGAUAAGCCGGUUGUGAAAGCCCCGGGCUCAACCUGGGAACGGCAUCCGGAACUGUCAAGCUAGAGUGCAGGAGAGGAAGGUAGAAUUCCCGGUGUAGCGGUGAAAUGCGUAGAGAUCGGGAGGAAUACCAGUGGCGAAGGCGGCCUUCUGGACUGACACUGACACUGAGGUGCGAAAGCGUGGGUAGCAAACAGGAUUAGAUACCCGUGUAGUC